CAGCCGCCGCGGUAACCCCAGCGCCACAAGUGGGAACCACGCUUAUUGGGUCUAAAGCAUCCGUAGCCGGUUCUGCAAAUGCCCUGUGAAAUCGUUGCGCUCAACGUAACGACGUGCAGGGUAGACUACAGAACUAGGGACCAGAGGAAGUAGACGGUAUUCCUGAGGGAGCGGUAAAAUGUGAUAAUCUCAGGAGGACCACCGAUGGCGAAGGCAGUCUACUAAUAUGGAUCCGACGGUGAGGGAUGAAAGCUAGGGGAGCGAUCCGGAUUAGAUACCCGAGUAGUCCUAGCCGUAAACGCUGCAUGCCAGAUGUUACACAAUCUUCGAGAUUGUGUAGUGUCGAAACGAAGGUGUUAAGCAUGCCACCUGGGAAGUACGGUCGCAAGGCUGAAACUUAAAGGAAUUGGCGGGGGAGCACCA
This 423-nucleotide ribosomal RNA is filed under the name uncultured archaeon. RNAcentral describes it as "bacterial SSU rRNA". It matches the Rfam family "Archaeal small subunit ribosomal RNA", at positions 459 to 881 of the family's 1478-position model. The record is from RNAcentral.